AAGUCGUAACAAGGUUUCCGUAGGUGAACCUGCGGAAGGAUCAUUACAAAAUGAACCUUUGAAUGGUGUAUUCCAUUCUUAUUUCAAUGUGCACUUGCUUUAGGCUGGGGGCCCAUGGGAACUCCUUCGGGGGGACUCUGGGAGUCAGGGGUAACCUUGAUUUCCCACCUUAAGCUAUUUUCUCACUUGUUUGAUUAUAUGGACUUAAGUAAUUUUAUUUUAAUAAAAUACAACUUUCAGCAACGGAUCUCUUGGUUCUC
Molecule: unclassified non-coding RNA, 260 nt
Filed under: fungal sp.
Lineage: Eukaryota; Fungi
Description: partial internal transcribed spacer region
Rfam family: Eukaryotic small subunit ribosomal RNA (bases 1-46)
Source: RNAcentral